AGCCAUGGAUGAAAGAUGCACAGGUACAGC
Molecule: non-coding RNA, 30 nt
Filed under: Homo sapiens (human)
Lineage: Eukaryota; Metazoa; Chordata; Mammalia; Primates; Hominidae
Source: RNAcentral